GAUGAAGAACGCAGCGAAAUGCGAUAAGUAAUGCGAAUUGCAGAAUUUCCGUGAGUCAUCGAAUCUUUGAACGCACAUUGCGCCCACUGGUAUUCCGGUGGGCAUGCCUGUUCGAGCGUCAUUAUCCUCUCUCAAACCCCGGGUUUGGUGUUGGACCCAAGUUGUGUGAACAACUGGUCUCAAAGACAAUGACGGCGUCCGUGGGACCCUCGGUGCAACGAGCUUUUAGGAGCACGCAUCGAGUUGCAAGGACCUUCCGGGCCGGUCUCCUUUCCCAUUUUACAAGGUUGACCUCGGAUCAGGUAGGAAUACCCGCUGAACUUAAGCAUAUCAAUAAGCGGAGGA
RNAcentral lists this unclassified non-coding RNA (345 nucleotides) under soil metagenome. RNAcentral describes it as "partial contains 5.8S ribosomal RNA, internal transcribed spacer 2, and large subunit ribosomal RNA". The stretch from base 1 to 121 matches the Rfam family "5.8S ribosomal RNA", at positions 35 to 154 of the family's 154-position model. The record is from RNAcentral.